RNAcentral lists this ribosomal RNA (375 nucleotides) under uncultured organism. RNAcentral's name for it is "partial 16S ribosomal RNA". It matches the Rfam family "Archaeal small subunit ribosomal RNA", at positions 477 to 851 of the family's 1478-position model. The record is from RNAcentral.
CAGCCCCUGAGUGGUAGGGGAUGAUUAUUUGGCCUAAAGCGUCCGUAGCCGGCUUAGCAAGUCUUUCGUUAAAUCCGGGUGACUUAAUCAUCGGUCUGCGAGAGAUACUACUAGGCUUGAGGACGGGAGAGGUCGACGGUAUUUCGGGGGUAGGGGUAAAAUCCUAUAAUCCUCGGAGGACCACCAGUGGCGAAGGCGGUCGACUAGAACGUGCCUGACGGUGAUGGACGAAAGCUGGGGGAGCAAACCGGAUUAGACACCCGGGUAGUCCCAGCUGUAAACGAUGCGGGCUAGGUGUUGGGGCAGCUACGAGCUGCUCCAGUGCCGCAGAGAAGUCAUUAAGCCUGCCGCCUGGGAAGUACGGUCGCAAGACUG